RNAcentral lists this ribosomal RNA (270 nucleotides) under uncultured bacterium. RNAcentral's name for it is "partial 16S ribosomal RNA". It matches the Rfam family "Bacterial small subunit ribosomal RNA", at positions 88 to 354 of the family's 1533-position model. The record is from RNAcentral.
CCGGCGACCGGCGCACGGGUGAGUAACACGUAUGCGACCUGCCCCCCGCAGGGGGAUAACCGGGAGAAAUCCCGACUAAUACCGCGUAACGCCGCGGACCUGCAUGGGUCUGCGGCCAAAGGAAGCGAUUCCGGCGGGGGAUGGGCAUGCGGUGCAUUAGCUAGUCGGCGGGGUAACGGCCCACCGAGGCGACGAUGCGUAGGGGUUCUGAGAGGAAGGUCCCCCACACUGGUACUGAGACACGGACCAGACUCCUACGGGAGGCAGCAG